CAAUGCGGGGAAUGUGACUGCCGUCUUCAAGAGUGUUAGGACGGCCAGACUUGUCCGCCAUCGUUUCCUGGAAAUGGCAUCCAAGCACAGGUGUCAGUUUGCGGGCGUCAGUGUUGACUACUCCGCCGAUCCUUGCGAAAAGCAAUUGACUUUGACACAAAACGGGGUGAGAGCGCGGCCCUAGCACCUUGGUCGAUAGAGAGAGGGGACCUGGAAUGUUUGGAUGGCUUCACC
This 234-nucleotide small RNA is filed under the name Histoplasma ohiense. RNAcentral's name for it is "hypothetical lncRNA". The record is from RNAcentral. Lineage: Eukaryota; Fungi; Ascomycota; Eurotiomycetes; Onygenales; Ajellomycetaceae.